Long non-coding RNA from Cyprinus carpio (common carp), 1323 nucleotides. RefSeq lists it as uncharacterized. The transcript has 3 exons. NCBI's taxonomy places the organism in Eukaryota, Metazoa, Chordata, Actinopteri, Cypriniformes, Cyprinidae. The record is from RefSeq and is a predicted model, not a curated record.
CUGUAUGUCACUUUCACUUGUCACUUUUUUUUAUAAGCAGUUAAUUUACAUGAACCUGUCUAAACGAACCGGCUUAAUGAAUUGGAUUUACCAAAGCUAUUUGAGAUUGACUGAGGGAAGGAGGACAGCACAUCUCUGCCCACUCUGUUGAAAGGUUCAUGCAGAUGUAGCAAUGUCACAAAAAGAAAAGCGUUAAAAAAAAAACACAUAAGCAUUUUCAUGCUUUGAAAAUACAUUUUAGUUAGUAGUGUUGGUAUUUAGUUACUGCAUCCAGUAAACUUUGCAGCCUCUGCCUAAAAUCUGAGCAAACAAUCCUCUGUCAUUCAUCCAAGUUCUGAACCGUUAAAUGCUAAUUCGAUAGCUACACCAUGCCGAGGAGGCCAGAACCAUACAAAAGUGGAGUUUUGGCGAAGUUUCGGACCCUCUGACUGAAGAGAAACUCAAGCUGGUAGAGAAAGAGAUGAAGGAACAGGAGACUCUGAUCCAGGGUUACCAUCAGGUAAGUCUCUCUCUCUCUGUCUCUGCUCAAUUUUUGACAUCUAUUAGAACGAGGCAUGCUGAAAAAUGGCUCUUAUGACAUGCAUUCAAUAUAUAUACAGUAGGUUUCAUUAACUUAUCCCUUUUCCUGGAUAUUUUCUUUUGGUGAGGUCUUACAAAUGUCAGUGAAUUAUACAAUGCAAAACUCAGUAGUCUCUCAUUUUCUAGAUCAUUUUAUGGCAUUUCAGCAUAAUGAGGCAUGUAAUUAAACACACUUCUUUUAAAAAGACACUAUUACCUCUAUCACCAGAAUUUAGAAUAACGAUGAUCAUUACUUCUCACAUUUCCUGUAAUUACAGAAGAACUCAUGGCCUUUCCAGAAACCAAAUCCAAUUAAUUCUUAUCUGGAACUAUAUUCAGUGUAAUACAUGCACUGAAUAUAUUUGCAUUUUGGUCAUUAGUAUUCAUAUGCUCCAGCAAAACAUGUCUGAAACUUCUUUCUGAUGAUUUUCACAAUAAAGGAGAAUGAAAAGCUUUAUCUGCAAAUGAAAGCGCUCCAAGCUCAAAGCAAACAAAACAAGGAGGCUUUGUUCAUGGAGAACCAGAGACUUCUCACUGAGCUACCCUUCACCAGGGACCUAUGAACAUGAAGAGCAUUCAAAGAACUAUCGGAGGGAGAAGCAUUGUUGACCAAAGCUUCAACAUUGCAGAGUUGACCAGUCAGGUACAAGCCACCCAGAAAAAGGAGGAGCGACUGCAAGACGAGAUCCUCUGGCUAAAACAGGAGAAACAAGCCGUGCAUGUAGACACGGAGAUGGUGAGGAAAGAGCGGGAGUGUACAUCAGG